GUAAGGGCCUGAGCCAGGUAUCCAAAAGCAGAUGCAAUUCUCUGGCCCCUUCUCCUCAAAUACAAAGGAAUGCUCAUUUGCUUGAUCUACUGAUUGCAGUUUUGCUAUCACGGUACUUGUCUGCUGCUAGAGCUCAUCAUCACAGGACAAUAACCGUGGCUCUACAGGAAAGGCAGAAGAUGGUAGCAGAGGGGCAGUCUGACAGAAUGGCGUCUGACAUGGAAGUGCGUAUUCAGCAAAGUUACAUGUACCUGAGCGCCAAGACCAUGUGUUAGUGUGAUUCUUCCUAAAGGGAGAUGAGGAGCACUGUCAGAAAGACCACAGCACCUGCAGCAGAGUCACUGUGGAAGUGGAGCACAAAGCAGUCACUUUGGUUUCUUCAUCAGCAUUUUGAAAUGCCUGAUUGAACUGAAGAGAUAUGGGACACUGUCUUUUAUCUGCACGCUAACAGACACGUCUGUGCUGUGCAGGGGAAGCUUUGUGCUGUGAAGUGAGCCCCAGCAACAGUGCAGUAAGCAGGCUCUGAGAGUUCUUCAAUUCUAUCUCUGGCACUGAGGAGCUAAUUCUUUGCAUUUCCUCAAACAGUCUUAGUCAUUUCAGUCAGCAAAGACCCAUUGGAGGCUUACGUUCUAUUACUGCCUCCUUCCAGAUGUCAGCAGUCGAUGCAGGAGCUUGGUGGCACAGUGUUUCUCCGGUAUGACUCUGUUUAGCUGAGUGAGAGGAAACAUCAUGUGGUGCCUUUGACACUGUCAGAUCUGUUACCUUUAAAUCUUUAGUGAAUCAGCAGACUAAUGUAGUGAACUAAAGCAAUUUAUGUAGAAUGGGAGCAAUCUAAGGUACAAAAUGGCAGUUGGGAGUUUAACUUAAUGGGAAUUAAUGGUUGUUGCUGGAGAUCUUAAUUCUUAUUAGACCAAUUUCACCCUGUUUCCACUGCUGGUGCUUUUAAGCUAGGGAGAAAAAAAAAGUUUAAUGGAAAUUCUAGAUCUUACUGAUUAGUGCAGUGCUGAGAAAUAAGAAGUCUUAAACUUUUGUGCAGUGUGGAUCACUUUGUUAGAGAAACUGCCUUGCUGGCCACCAUCAUUUCUCAUUUGUAAUAAAUAGGCAACUUUUUCAGCUGUUCAUGUUUGUAAGGUCAGCUCAAUCUAUCCUUUGGGACAUCUCCAGGAAAGAACAGUAACUGCCUAUCUGAAAAAAUAGCAUCAAGAAAGUACCAGAUACUCAUGUAUGUUUUGUAUCCCUUUUAUGAAUAUGUAAUAUUAAAACCCAGGAGAAGCUAAUUCCAUGAGAGGAAUAAUUUUUUCCUUGUCCUCUAGGAAACCAUUUUGUGAAUUUUUUGUUGAACUUUGUGUGAACUUUUUGUGAAUUUUUUUGUUGAAUUUUGUCUUUUCUUAGGAAGGUAGAUGUCCACCAGGGCAGGAUGGGCAAACUUGCUCAUGUCCAUGAUGAUCUUAAGGGCAUCUGAUCUGAAGAGUACAUUCAUGCUGUAGUCCCUUCAACUGCCUCUGUCCAUCCCUGGGCAUGUGUUUGAUGUUGUUUUUGCUGUUCAACAAAGUUUGAUUCAUCUCCUUGUUGACUUCUUUAUCUUCUUCAAAUGAUGACCUACUUUUCCAUCUUUUUUUGUUUCCUCUGUCCUAUCAUAAUUUUAUCUGACUCCUUCUCUGCUUUAUAGACCUCCGUAAAUUGAAAUAGUUUAACUCUAUUAUAAAAUUAUUUCUGAGUUAGAUGUCUAAUAUUUUCCGUAUCAAGUUAUUUUUAACUUUUCUGCAAGCCUCUGAAAAUUAAUUUGAUAUUUCCCUUGUUUAAAUCAUAGUAAAAAAUAGAUACUUGUUUGAUAAAUUUGGUAAACCUUUUAAAUUUACUAUGGUAUUGUUGCUUUGUUGAUGCUUCAUUCCACCACUAAAAACAGGAAAAUGAGUGCUGCUGCUGAUUCCAAAGAGCAUGCUUUAAAGAACAUCCACUAAUUUUUCUUACAAAUAAAUAUUUGAUAUUACAAAUACUUAAUAUUUAAUAUUCCAGUAAUUUUUUCACUUUGCUUUCUAGUACUACUUACUCAGCUUUAUUAACAAGAGUAAAUUUUCCUUCUAACCAAGCUGUUCAUCACAAUACUCAUUUUAUCAACGCUACAAACUAAACCAUACUGGAAAUCCAGCCAAAACUUAACAGCUUUUUUAUUCUCAGAGCACUGUGCCAUUUUCCUGUAAGUUUUAUUAUUCUAUCCUACCAUUCAUCUCCUACUGUGAGAGAAC
Molecule: long non-coding RNA, 2246 nt
Filed under: Gallus gallus (chicken)
Lineage: Eukaryota; Metazoa; Chordata; Aves; Galliformes; Phasianidae
Description: lncRNA (ENSGALG00010007009.1)
Source: RNAcentral